ACAGUUUGAUCAUGUCUCAGAUUGAACGCUGGCGGCAGGCCUAACACAUGCAAGUCGAGCGGAUGAUGGGAGCUUGCUCCCGGAUUCAGCGGCGGACGGGUGAGUAAUGCCUAGGAAUCUGCCUGGUAGUGGGGGACAACGUUUCGAAAGGAACGCUAAUACCGCAUACGUCCUACGGGAGAAAGCAGGGGACCUUCGGGCCUUGCGCUAUCAGAUGAGCCUAGGUCGGAUUAGCUAGUUGGUGGGGUAAAGGCCUACCAAGGCGACGAUCCGUAACUGGUCUGAGAGGAUGAUCAGUCACACUGGAACUGAGACACGGUCCAGACUCCUACGGGAGGCAGCAGUGGGGAAUAUUGGACAAUGGGCGAAAGCCUGAUCCAGCCAUGCCGCGUGUGUGAAGAAGGUCUUCGGAUUGUAAAGCACUUUAAGUUGGGAGGAAGGGCAGUAAGUUAAUACCUUGCUGUUUUGACGUUACCAACAGAANUAGCACCGGCUAACUUCGUGCCAGCAGCCGCGGUAAUACGAAGGGUGCAAGCGUUUAUCCGAAUUACUGGGCGUAAAGCGCGCGUAGGUGGUUUGGUAAGAUGGAUGUGAAAUCCCGGG
This 603-nucleotide ribosomal RNA is filed under the name uncultured Pseudomonas sp. RNAcentral describes it as "bacterial SSU rRNA". It matches the Rfam family "Bacterial small subunit ribosomal RNA", at positions 8 to 606 of the family's 1533-position model. The record is from RNAcentral. Lineage: Bacteria; Pseudomonadati; Pseudomonadota; Gammaproteobacteria; Pseudomonadales; Pseudomonadaceae.